UACUUUUUACCUUGGAGUGCGGUGUAUUUGUAAAUAUUAUUUUUUUUCAUUUGCUAUCUAGCAGGUUUCGGACAGAAACAUAAACGAUGAAUGUUUAUUUCGACACCUAAUUUGAUCCUCUUUAAAUAAUGUACAUUUUAAGAAUUUAACAUGAUGUUGAACAGAUGUAUUUAAAUAUUUUGUUCUGUUCUAGACACAUCACGACUGAAAGGC
Molecule: long non-coding RNA, 213 nt
Filed under: Mytilus galloprovincialis (Mediterranean mussel)
Lineage: Eukaryota; Metazoa; Mollusca; Bivalvia; Mytilida; Mytilidae
Source: RNAcentral